This 305-nucleotide ribosomal RNA is filed under the name uncultured bacterium. Its description in RNAcentral is "bacterial SSU rRNA". It matches the Rfam family "Bacterial small subunit ribosomal RNA", at positions 333 to 654 of the family's 1533-position model. The record is from RNAcentral.
GAGCGCCUACGGGGGGCAGCAGUCGGGAAUAUUGCGCAAUGGAGGAAACUCUGACGCAGUGACGCCGCGUAUAGGACGAAGGUCUUCGGAUUGUAAACUAUUGUCGUUAGGGAAGAGAAAGGACAGUACCUAAGGAGGAAGCUCCGGCUAACUAUGUGCCAGCAGCCGCGGUAAUACAUAGGGGGCAAGCGUUAUCCGGAAUUAUUGGGUGUAAAGGGUGCGUAGACGGAAGAACAAGUUGGUUGUGAAAUCCCUCGGCUCAACUGAGGAACUGCAACCAAAACUAUUCUCCUUGAGUGUCGGAG